GGGUCCUUGGCCUCCUGCUACACACAGGACUAGAGGGCGUUGUGCUGAUCCACCUGGCCUGUCCUUUUCCCCGGGCAACUGUCCUUUCCUCACCCCAGUUCAGCUGGAGGUAGUUGGAUUUUUGUUGUUGUUGUUGCUCAGCUGGGUUGUAGAUCACAGGAACCUUUGAAUUAGAAGGUACCCCAGAUUCCCUAUACACCUAACAUCGGUUAAACCAGUGUUUCUCCAACUAUCAGACGUGGUGGCAAUUUCCCACACCCCUGUGUGCCAGGGCCGCUACUGUAUUUGGUCCCUGAAGCGUCCCAGCCACCCGGAGCUGUGGUGGAAUCGCCAAUGACAGUGGGUGAAAGUUCAUAAAGCGGUACUGAUCCGCAGACCAGCAUUUCGAGUAAGCAUUGCGCCAAACUAUAUAUUAACCUUAGACAUCCAGCUGCUCUCUCAAGGACAGAAUUUGUGCCCUUGUGCAUUGCCGACUUUGCACAGGCCAGAAAGGGUCUAUUCUUUGCCUUAAGAAGAAUUUCAGGACCAGGGACAGCGCAGUGCCAGACGCAAUACAGCAAUACGCAAUACAGCUUAGCGAAAUUAGUGCACCGCUCCGCCAGUCUCUUUAGACCAGUAACCCGUUUCACUGUGUUUUAGAAGCAAUUCCACCCCUUCCUUUUCCUUUCGAAGCCAGAGAAGUAUCCUGCCAAGUUCCCGCAGAUCCUGGAGGCUUCACGGCAAUUUCUAUCUGGGAAGGGACGAUUCUUAACUUUCUGGUCUGUUACUAGGCGGAUAGAAAGGGCUGAAGUGUUGGGUCACGGGAUAUCCAGGGCCUCACUGGGCACGUGGUCAGCAUAAUAACGCCAGGGCUCACUGCAUGGGCGAGCUUACCUUGCCCCUGAUGCGGUCCUCAACUUUGUAGGUUUUCUUACUUUCCCUCUUUUCCGCCCUAGGACAAUGUAAAGCUCCCAUAUGCGCUUGAAGGUUGGAGAUACUGUAGGUAGGUGGAACUGGCAUGGGCAAGAAUUAAACAACAUAAACGCAGGGGGGUGGCGAUCUUCCCAGCAAUAAAGGUCCUACCAACUUUUUUAUACAGUAUAUAAAAAAAUCCAAUGGUUACAAUAAUAAGCUUUGUAAAUCUGUGGAACAUCCCUGUCAGAAAAGAAUUAUUUUGAAUAUGUAAUCAGUCCACUGGCGUAUAGCCCUCUCAUAUCCAAUCUCUUGUUAAACAGAACCUAAAUCGGGGUUUCUGCCUUUUCAAAACAAAAACUCACCCCGAGUUCAAGCAGCGUUUCCGCUUUCAGCAAAAGAGCAAGACUGUUUACGGGGAAUGGCUGAAAGAGACACCAGCAUACUAGAAAGAAUGGCUGGGUAAGUAAAUUACGCCUAAUGAGUUGGCAGCAGCUGCUGGGCCAGAAGAGUUUAUAGACUUCUGUUUAGAUUGUCGAUUUGUGUGUGACCUUAAUUGUACAGGUGUACAAAACUGUACAUUGGCAAUUGUCAAGUGUUUGGAUUAUUUUUAUUUUCCACUAUUUUUUAUGCACAUCUGUUCUUUCCUGAUAACAACUGCGUCUGCAAUCCUAUACACACCUCGGAAUGAGUCCAAAUGAACUCAGUCGGACUUAUUUCUCGGUAGUGGCUUAGAGGAUUGUAGUGCGGGGCGGCGAUCCUAUGCACAUUAACCUGAAAGCCUCCAACCCCAAAUAGAUUUUAAUGGCACUUCCUCCCUAGUAAAUGUGCAGGGGCUUGCAACUCGAGUAUGAGCAGUUUUCAAAUUUACUUAUUCCUGCACUUAGUCCAUUCAUAUCCCGAAUGCUCAGCCCCAAUGAGUAUUAAAAUAUAUAGACGUGGCUAUGCCUGCUUGGUGAAUGCAAAGCCGGUGAUGUGUCCGGGAUUUCCGAGGCAAGAAACAGAUCCCUUGGAUUUUGCCUAAAGCUGCCUGAACAGAACUCAAUCCGGGCUCAGUUUGAUUUAUUGUCCAACUGUUCCGGGGUAGGGGGUGCGUGGGUGGGGUGAUGUUCAACCCCCCCCCCACAGGACUAAAAUAAACUAAAGCAGAGACACCGCCUGAAACUGACAAGGCCCCCUCGCAAAACAAACAGCUGCAAGUAGUGACGGGCUGCCUGGAGAUCUCAUUUCACGUGAAUAAUGCUCUUACAAGUCUAAGGCUCUCACACACACACCGGCCUCUGUGCGUCUUGGAGAAGAACCCGCAUAUUUUUGGAAGGCUUUUUGAAUCACCGGUGAAAAAGGCGAAGUGAUGCUCUUGAAUGUCGGCGUCUUGGGUGGGAGAGGAGGAGGGGCAGGAGGCUAAGUUUGACACAUCAUUGACAUCUACCGGUGAAGGGGCGGUGACUGCUGGUAGCAAGGAGCCUGGUGUGGGGGAGAGAAAGAUAUAUUUGGCACUGUUUAAAGCAGCCCUUUUUGUCCCCUGCCCCUGCCGCCCCUUCCUUCAGCCUUGCCACGGAUUAUGCGCUUCCUACCCAGCCCUGUUCUCUCGAUCCUUCUGAUGCGAUUCCUCACAGAAUCUGUAAAUCAGAUGCGAAGUUGUCUAGGGAAGAAGAACGAGGGUGACCUUUGAGUCGUGCUCCUGUUAUCGAUACGGGCCUCUUUCUUUGCAUUUAAAAUGGGAGCCCCGAGAGGCUCAUUUCCUGCGCCUUUAACAGCAAAGCAUAUAGACAAAAGACAUUGGCCGUAUUUUUGGGGGUGUGUGGGGGAGAGUGAUGUAGUUAAGAGAGAGAAAGAAGGAAGGAAGGAAGGAAGGGAAGGUUGAAGGUAUACCGUUUGGCAUUACUCUAUUGGCUUGUGGUCCACUGGGCUACUCAAAUGACACAGCCUGAGCUGCAGCGAGCAGGGUCCGUACCACAGGCAACGAUGCCUAGUAUGUUUGCUUAUACACUUACUUAAAGAAUUUGCUUCCCACCCCUUCCCAAGAAGGCUCGCAGAGAUUUACAGACCUUAAGGCCCACAAUCUAAAGCAACAUAACACAGAAGGAAAAAGGUUCGGGAGAGAGGAGGAGGAGGCAAGAAAGCUCAAGCCCCAGUUAAGUUAGAAGAAAUUCAGAUAUUAUCAUGACACCUCCAGGUCUCUGAAAUUAGGAGAGUCUUAGCUCUGGAGGAAGUUGAAUAGAUGCUUUUCUAGCUUGGCGUCGGAAAUAGGUCUUCUCUCGUUCCUAAUAAUUCUCAUUUCUAUUAAUUAAUUAAUAAUAAUUAAUUAACAAUUACCUGCACCCCAGUCCUAUGGACAUUUGCUCGGGAAUAGGCCCCGCGGUGUAAGGCCUUUGAACACCCCUAUCCACCCUUUUUCAGGGUCCUCCUUAUCACAUCUUCACUCAACUCCUGGUGCAGGAUUAUUGACAUGAAGGCGAUUUAUAGCUCGAGCCGAGGUAGGUUUCCUCGAAAGUAAGGCCAGUUGCAUUUCGUAGGGCCUACCCGCAAGUGAUUGCUGCUAUGCUUGCAGCCUUAAUUUCCAGGAAAAGGGGAUUUAGAGGAGCACAUUGUGGGAUCACCGGGAUAUUCACCGGGAUAUUCCCACCUCUCAGGGUAAAAUUGUCACGGAAUAAUUCGCACCCUCAAAAUAGGGCUAGUGGGGCAAUGCUAUGCUUAGGAAUAAGUCCCUUUAAACUUAGGGGGGGGGGACUCCGUAAAGAGGCUCAGGAGCUGGCCACAGCUACAGCAGCACAUGGCCUGGAUUAAAGAAGAACGUAAAGUACGCGGUAGGAAUCGUUGAGCAAAGUGACAGGACUUCUGCCAGUCGCCCCUUCCGCAUAAUCAGCGCGCUGGACGAAAUGUUAGGCUUGUCUGUCUGGCGAGUCUGUCCCGCGAGUCGCUGAUUGGCAUUUCUGAAAGCAUACGCCACGCUUCGUCGUUUCACGCUGUGCAAAAUUUUAGGCUGAUCGCAGAACUAGCAUUUCUCGGAGCAGCAAAACUCUUCAAUGCCUGGAGGAGUCUAAGAGCAGGUUCGCACGUGCGUCGCUCCGAGACGGGAGCAUCAAAUUACGACUUGCACGUGUGAACGCGCCAUCACUGAUUAAACUGCUGCAAAUUCAAUUUUUAUAUUUUCUCACUCCUAACACAAUCCUAGUAAAGGCAGGUCUCAAUUCCGCUGUCCCCCGAUCAAGCGCUGAAUAGCCUGGUUCUAAUAAUUAGCAUGCUAUAAAAUGCAAUUAUAUACGUACUUACUCAGAAGCAAGUCCACUGAGUUCUAGGGCCUUUACUCCCAGGUAAACGAGUACAGUAUUGCAGCCACAGACCCCAGUCUCCAGUGACCCAUAUACACGCUACUUCAGUUAUAGGAAGUGGUUAAAAAUAUAUAUAUUCUUAGUGUAUGUUUUUCAAUCCAGGAAAGUUUAAAAUAUGAAUAACAAAGAUAUUAGAGACUAACUUGAACUCCAUCUCCUGGGAGCCCAAGCCAGCCCAGAAGAUUGGUUCGGUAGCACUCAACUGAUGACUGCCUCCUUUUGUUUGUUGACCUACAAAUGUGGCAGGGACAGAAAUGGCUCUGACCAUCACUCCACAGGCUGCCAUGAAGAAAUAUACUUCAGAUUCUGCAAUGACCAAGUCAACUUGGCUGUGGGGCCCCUCACUGUUUGAUAAGCAGAAAGAAAGAGGCCCACAUUCCCUUCUGGGGGCCACCUGUCAGUGGUGGGCGGUCCCAGAGGCAAAAAUGGGUGGAGCAACAAAGGUAGAAUUUUGCCUUUGUUCAGUAGGCUAGUUUCUACACAGACUCACACACUCUCUAUCCUCGCAUCAGUCAAGCAAGAGGCAUAAUCAGACUUCAAGGACACAUUCCAGCCAGGCAAAAGCAUUUCUGGUGUGAAACAGAAUCAGUGAGCAGUGUGGUCUGGGGAGAAUCCCAAGGGCCAGAUAGAGAUCACUAAGUAGAGAGGCUCCCAGGUGUAGUUCUCCACCUCUAGGUUACAGGAUACGAGCUAAUAUAGGAGACAACUCUUAGGAGCUGAUGUCCCUUUGCACCCCCAAUAAAAUAUUUGAG
This 4975-nucleotide long non-coding RNA is filed under the name Podarcis lilfordi (Lilford's wall lizard). The record is from RNAcentral. Lineage: Eukaryota; Metazoa; Chordata; Lepidosauria; Squamata; Lacertidae.